This 507-nucleotide ribosomal RNA is filed under the name Phyllosticta sp. TXGP78. Its description in RNAcentral is "eukaryotic LSU rRNA". The stretch from base 174 to 327 matches the Rfam family "5.8S ribosomal RNA". Lineage: Eukaryota; Fungi; Ascomycota; Dothideomycetes; Botryosphaeriales; Phyllostictaceae. The record is from RNAcentral.
UUUCCGUAAAAGGGCCCUGCGGAAGGAUCAUUACCUAGAGUUUGUGGGCUUUGCCUGCUAUCUCUUACCCAUGUCUUUUGAGUACUUACGUUUCCUCGGCGGGUCCGCCCGCCGAUUGGACAAAAUUAAACCCUUUGCAGUUGCAAUCAGCGUCUGAAAAACAUAAUAGUUACAACUUUCAACAACGGAUCUCUUGGUUCUGGCAUCGAUGAAGAACGCAGCGAAAUGCGAUAAGUAGUGUGAAUUGCAGAAUUCAGUGAAUCAUCGAAUCUUUGAACGCACAUUGCGCCCCUUGGUAUUCCAUGGGGCAUGCCUGUUCGAGCGUCAUUUGUACCUUCAAGCUCUGCUUGGUGUUGGGUGUUUGUCUCGCCUUUGCGUGUAGACUCGCCUCAAAACAAUUGGCAGCCGGCGUAUUGAUUUCGGAGCGCAGUACAUCUCGCGCUUUGCACUCAUAACGACGACGUCCAAAAAGUACAUUUUUACACUCUUGACCUCGGAUCAGGUAGG